GACGAACGCUGGCGGCGUGCCUAAUACAUGCAAGUAGAACGCUGAAGAGAGGAGCUUGCUCUUCUUGGAUGAGUUGCGAACGGGUGAGUAACGCGUAGGUAACCUGCCUUGUAGCGGGGGAUAACUAUUGGAAACGAUAGCUAAUACCGCAUAACAAUGGAUGACACAUGUCAUUUAUUUGAAAGGGGCAAUUGCUCCACUACAAGAUGGACCUGCGUUGUAUUAGCUAGUAGGUGAGGUAAUGGCUCACCUAGGCGACGAUACAUAGCCGACCUGAGAGGGUGAUCGGCCACACUGGGACUGAGACACGGCCCAGACUCCUACGGGAGGCAGCAGUAGGGAAUCUUCGGCAAGGGGGGCAACCCUGACCGAGCAACGCCGCGGGAGUGAAGAAGGUUGUCGGAUCGUAAAGCUCUGUUGUAAGUCAAGAACGGGUGUGAGAGUGGAAAGUUCACACUGUGACGGUAGCUUACCAGAAAGGGACGGCUAACUACGUG
RNAcentral lists this ribosomal RNA (497 nucleotides) under uncultured bacterium. Its description in RNAcentral is "partial 16S ribosomal RNA". It matches the Rfam family "Bacterial small subunit ribosomal RNA", at positions 28 to 507 of the family's 1533-position model. The record is from RNAcentral.